RNAcentral lists this ribosomal RNA (406 nucleotides) under uncultured bacterium. RNAcentral's name for it is "partial 16S ribosomal RNA". It matches the Rfam family "Bacterial small subunit ribosomal RNA", at positions 30 to 526 of the family's 1533-position model. The record is from RNAcentral.
AUUGAACGCUGGCGGCAGGCCUAACACAUGCAAGUCGAACGAGUGGCGGACGGGUUCGUAAUGUCUGGGAAACUGCCUGAGGGCGGGGGAUAACUACUCGAACCGGUAGCUAAUACCGCAUACCAUCGGAUGUGCCCAGAUGGGAUUAGCUAGUAGGUGGGGUAACGGAUCACCUAGACGACGAUCCCUAGCUGGUCUGAGAGGAGGACCAGCCACACUGGAACUGAGACACGGUCCAGACUCCUACGUGAGGCAGCAGUGGGGAAUAUUGCACAAUGGGCGCAAGCCUGAUGCAGCCAUGCCGCGUGUAUGAAGAAGGCCUUCGGGUUGUAAAGUACUUUCAGCGGGGAGGCGUUACCCGCAGAAGAAGCACCGGCUAACUCCGUGCCAGCCGCCGCGGUAAUAC